CCUGCGACCUGACCUGAAUGGAGCUCUUUUUGCGGAACGUAGUGGAGCAAAAAAGCGGGAAUGGAGGGCGGAAAUAGUC
RNAcentral lists this unclassified non-coding RNA (79 nucleotides) under Kaistella antarctica. Its description in RNAcentral is "Chryseobacterium antarcticum Flavo-1 RNA". The record is from RNAcentral. Lineage: Bacteria; Pseudomonadati; Bacteroidota; Flavobacteriia; Flavobacteriales; Weeksellaceae.